UCGUACCUACGGGAGGCAGCAGUGGGGAAUAUUGGGCAAUGGGCGCAAGCCUGACCCAGCAACGCCGCGUGAAGGAAGAAGGCUUUCGGGUUGUAAACUUCUUUUAUCAGGGACGAAGCAAGUGACGGUACCUGAUGAAUAAGCCACGGCUAACUACGUGCCAGCAGCCGCGGUAAUACGUAGGUAGCGAGCGUUAUCCGGAUUUACUGGGUGUAAAGGGCGUGUAGGCGGGAAUGCAGGUCAGAUGUGAAAACUAUGGGCUCAACCCAUAGCCUGCAUUUGAAACUGUAUUUCUUGAGUGCUGG
RNAcentral lists this ribosomal RNA (305 nucleotides) under uncultured bacterium. RNAcentral's name for it is "bacterial SSU rRNA". It matches the Rfam family "Bacterial small subunit ribosomal RNA", at positions 333 to 652 of the family's 1533-position model. The record is from RNAcentral.